This 2669-nucleotide unclassified non-coding RNA is filed under the name Hevea brasiliensis (rubber tree). Lineage: Eukaryota; Viridiplantae; Streptophyta; Magnoliopsida; Malpighiales; Euphorbiaceae. The record is from RNAcentral.
UGGUAUUGCAAAAUAAUAAUUCUUUUUCAUAUAAAAAUAAAAUUAUUGAGAUUCAUAUAUUUAUCUUUAUUUUAGUGUGCAUACAUAUAACCACUCGUACAUAUUUCCCCAUUGACAAAUAUUUCUGAAUCUGCCACUAUGAAUGGCUACUCUUCAAAUAUUUCACAAAUCCUUGCAAGAAUUGCAUUGGCAACAAAUAAGAAUCUCAAUCAAUUUAGGUUUUCCAUCUGCCAUGCACAUGAAUUGACAUACACCAAAGCGUCCCACGAUUUGUUACAUUAUCAAAGACAACAGCAGCUGCUCACCCAAUUAUUAUAUCAACAUGUACAGGAACUUCACGGCUGCACUGUUGGUUUCAUAUUCUACAAUUGGCAGCUGCAUGAAGUGUAGCAUUAACAAAUCUGACCAUUUUUAUUAACUAUUUCAUGUUCAUAUCAAAUUCAUCUACUUACUGCAGUAAACAAACUGAUUGAGAUCAAGAGUAACUCUGCCUUGCUUAGCUGUAUCAAAUGAAUUAAAAAGAUUCCUGCAAUGAACCAGAAGAUAAAUUAUAUUGUUCAUUGGCUAGCAUAUGAAAGGUUGGAAUUUAUUGCCAAAUAAGGUUGCGAGUGUAAAAUGGCAGAUUUCUAUUCCUAGCUCAAGCAGCUUCAAUGUCCUGUGAAAUUGACAUAAGCCAUAAAAUUUUCAUGUGUGCUUGCAUCUGGAUCAUUUGUUUGAAUGUAAACUUUAAAGACUGAGGAAACCCAUUGUUGUUGGAUCCAUAUUCCAUGCAAAGGCACAAUUUAUCCAAACAAAUUUUUUAUAUCCAAUUAUCCAUAACAAACUUACUGCAGGCUAUUCAAUGUAAUGAAUGCACUAUGGUGUAUCUAUGAAAACCCACCGAGCAGACUGCAGAAAGAUACAGAGAGAAAUAAAGUCAUCCAGACGAAAUCUUCCGUUCUUCUUUUGGUCAAAGCUCUGAACCAUAAAUAGGAGUUAUCAUUAUUUACAUGUUAUAACUAAUUAAGGUAAGAACUAUUUUCUAGGUCAUCAACACAUAAAUUAAGAAUUCAAAAUAAGUUAAAAAUAUAUUUACAGAACAGAAAUCUCACUGACAAUCUAGUUCGAUCUAUUAGAAGACAUUGAAUUCACACCAUAUGACAUAAAACCUGAUCUUGAAAGAGUGAUAUGUUUUAUCUGAUAGAUCUUUGUAACAUAAAUUUAUGAUACCUCACAGACCGUGUAAAAAGCUGGAGAGUCUAGCGUGAAACCAAUUUUCACCAAUGCCUGUAGUCAAGCUUCAAUAAUGAGAAACCAUGUCUUCCAUUUCAAAGAAAUAUCUAUUAGCAAUCAAAAGUGCGCAAGAAAAAUCAUAACAAGAUUAAUAUGACAAUAAAAUUACAAAGUUAUUUUAGCAGGAUAACUAAUGUCAUUAAUCAGUAAUCACUCAUGUAAACUUCAUUUAUUUGGUUGCAACGUAGAAACUAUUUCUUCAGAAACCACCUCAUAUACAUCAUCAGGAAGAAGAUACCCACGAUCCCUGUAACAAGUAAAAAGUGAGACUAUUAAGAUAGCCAUAAGUUCACGUCAAAUGAAUGUUAAGAGUAAAGAACAACGUAACACAAUUAGAUGGAUGAUUAUACAUCAACCAAAAUAUUGACCCAAACAUGAAAAUUCUGUCACAAAUUAUAAGAAGAAAUAUAGGAAUCAGAUGUAAUGAGAAUAAGCAUAAUUCUAGAAGUCUUAGAAGAGUGCAGACGGGAUUAGUUUGGCGGGAGCAGCAAAGGGAGAGCAGCAUAAAUACUCAGUGCAGCAAUAUUGUAAUUCAUUCCAAGAAUUAUCAAGAAUACAACUUCUUCUUCUCCUAUUCUAUUCUCUCUAUCUCUUCUAUCUCUCUAUCUUCUGUCUUUCUAUCUCUAUUUUCCUGUUCUACUACAUUCUUCUCUGUUAGGGAUUCAUAACCCUAAAAUUGGUAUCAGAGCUUUGCAUCCAAGAAAUCAGUGGGCAAUUGAGUUUUGGGUGCCGCAAUUAUGACCAGGUCGGCUGUAGUGAGUCAGGAGAUGGCUAGGAUUGCACAAUUGGAGGUACAAAUGAGGAAUCUGCAGGAGGCUACUCAGAGGAAUAUUGAUGAAUUGAAGUAUUUCAAGAAAGAAAUGAAGGAAGAAUUAAACAAGACUUCUUUGAAUAACAAUGUUAUCCUGGAAGAAUUGUGAGCCCUAAUAAUCACUCAUGUGGUGGUAAAGAACAAGGGAAGCAGUAGUUCAAGUUAAGAGCAGAGUAAAAAACAGGGGAUUACAAGCCAACCCUAUAGUUCCAACGAUAGUUACCUGGAUCGCGGUACUCUUGAGUCGUGGUACAAGUAUAGCAUAUGCGAUACGCUACUUUAUGAAAUAUAAGAUAUGCAUGGAGUAGGCUUAGUUAGUACGCUAAUUGGAUUUGUGGUACGCUAAUUCGGUUUGUAGAAUGCAAAUUUUAUUUUUUAAUAUGUAAAAUAUAUUUAUAUGACAACUUUAAAAAAAAAAAUUACUUAGCAUAAUGUGUAAUAAAAAAAUAAAAUAUUAAUUUAAUAAAAAUUUACUAAGAGAGUAUACGUUGGUGCAUAAUGUUUGUGGAUGAUAUUGUUCUGAUAGAUGGGACGCGAGAAGGAAUCAAUAGAAAGAUAGAGCUUUGAAGAAAUACUCUAGAGUUAA